Molecule: ribosomal RNA, 496 nt
Filed under: uncultured bacterium
Lineage: Bacteria
Description: partial 16S ribosomal RNA
Rfam family: Bacterial small subunit ribosomal RNA
Source: RNAcentral
GAUGAACGCUGGCGGCGUGCCUAAUACAUGCCAGUCGAGCGAACGGACGAGAAGCUUGCUUCUCUGAUGUUAGCGGCGGACGGGUGAGUAACACGUGGAUAACCUACCUAUAAGACUGGGAUAACUUCGGGAAACCGGAGCUAAUACCGGAUAAUAUUUUGAACCGCAUGGUUCAAAAGUGAAAGACGGUCUUGCUGUCACUUAUAGAUGGAUCCGCGCUGCAUUAGCUAGUUGGUAAGGUAACGGCUUACCAAGGCAACGAUGCAUAGCCGACCUGAGAGGGGGAUCGGCCACACUGGAACUGAGAGACGGCACAGACCCCUACGGGAGGCAGCAGCAGGGAAGCUUCCGCAAUGGGCGAAAGCCUGACGGAGCAACGCCGCGUGAGUGAUGAAGGUCUUCGGAUCGUAAAACUCUGUUAUUAGGGAAGAACAGAUGUGUAAGUAACUGUGCACAUCUUGACGGUACCUAAACAGAAAGCCACGGCUAACUACGU